RNAcentral lists this long non-coding RNA (2792 nucleotides) under Citrus x clementina. RNAcentral's name for it is "Citrus clementina (C. clementina) long non-coding RNA (CCLE_LNC005929)". The record is from RNAcentral. Lineage: Eukaryota; Viridiplantae; Streptophyta; Magnoliopsida; Sapindales; Rutaceae.
GUCCGCCGGACUCGGAAUGGGGCGAGACUUUGCGAGGGGCCUCGGGGUGCCAAAAAUAAGCCGCGGGCAAAGCCGCGCCCAAAAAUAAGCGCCCGAAGGCCGUGGUGCCAAAACCCCCCAGCGGAAAAAUGGCCAAAAAACGGGUGGGCUAUAGACUUGGUGGGGGGCGCGGGCGAAGUUCGUCCGCCGGACUCGGAAUGGGGCGAGACUUUGCGAGGGGCCUCGGGGUGCCAAAAAUAAGCCGCGGGCAAAGCCGCGCCCAAAAAUAAGCGCCCGAAGGUCGUGGUGCCAAAACCCCCCAGCGGAAAAAUGGCCAAAAAACGGGUGGGCGAUAGCCUUGGUGGGGGGCGCGGGCGAAGUUCGUCCGCCGGACUCGGAAUGGGGCGAGACUUUGCGAGGGGCCUCGGGGUGCCAAAAAUAAGCCGCGGGCGAAGCCGCGCCCGAAGGUCGUGGUGCCAAAACCCCCCAGCGGAAAAAUGGCCAAAAAACGGGUGGGCUAUAGCCUUGGUGGGGGGCGCGGGCGAAGUUCGUCCGCCGGACUCGGAAUGGGGCGAGACUUUGCGAGGGGCCUCGGGGUGCCAAAAAUAAGCCGCGGGCAAAGCCGCGCCCAAAAAUAAGCGCCCGAAGGUCGUGGUGCCAAAACCUCCCAGCGGAAAAAUGGCCAAAAAACGGGUGGGCUAUAGCCUUGGUGGGGGGCGCGGGCGAAGUUCGUCCGCCGGACUCGGAAUGGGGCGAGACUUUGCGAGGGGCCUCGGGGUGCCAAAAAUAAGCCGCGGGCAAAGCCGCGCCCAAAAAUAAGCGCCCGAAGGCCGUGGUGCCAAAACCCCCCAGCGGAAAAAUGGCCCAAAAACGGGUGGCUAUAGCCUGUUGGGGGCGCGGCGGAAUGUUCUUCCGCCGGACUUCGAAUGGGGCGAGACUUUGCGAGGGGCCUCGGGGUGCCCAAAAAAUAAGCCGCGGCCAUAGCCGCGCCCAAAUAAUAAGCACCCCGAAGUGUUGUGGUGCCAAAACUCCUCCAGCGGAAAAAUUGUGCCAAAAAACGGGUGGGCUAUAGCUUGGUGGGGGGGCGCGGGGCGAAGUUUGUUCCGCCGGACUCGGAAAUGGGGCGAGACUUUGCGAGGGGCCUCGGGGUGCCCAAAAAAUAAAGCCGUGGCCCAAAGCCGGCGCCCCAAAAAAUAAGCGCCGAAAGGUCGUGGUGCCAAAACCCCCCCAGCGGAAAAAAUGGCCAAAAAAACGGGGUGGGGCUAUAGCCUUGGUGGGGGGCGCGGGCGAAGUUCGUCCGCCGGACUCGGAAAUGGGGCGAGACUUUUGCGAGGGGGCCUCGGGGUGCCAAAAUUAAGCCGCGGGCAAAGCCGCGCCCAAAAAUAAGCACCCGAAGGUCGUGGUGCCAAAACCCCCCAGCGGAAAAAUGGCCAAAAAACGGGUGGGCUAUAGCCUUGGUGGGGGGCGCGGGCGAAGUUCGUCCGCCGGACUCGGAAUGGGGCGAGACUUUGCGAGGGGCCUCGGGGUGCCAAAAAUAAGCGGCGGGCAAAGCCGCGCCCAAAAAUAAGCGCCCGAAGGUCGUGGUGCCAAAACCCCCCAGCGGAAAAAUGGCCAAAAAACGGGUGGGCUAUAGCCUUGGUGGGGGGCGCGGGCGAAGUUCGUCCGCCAGACUCGGAAUGGGGAGAGACUUUGCGAGGGGCCUCGGGGUGCCAAAAAUACGCCGCGGGCAAAGCCGCGCCCAAAAAUAAGCGCCCGAAGGUCGUGGUGCCAAAACCCCCCAGCGGAAAAAUGGCCAAAAAACGGGUGGGCUAUAGCCUUGGUGGGGGGCGCGGGCGAAGUUCGUCCGCCGGACUCGGAAUGGGGCGAGACUUUGCGAGGGGCCUCGGGGUGCCAAAAAUAAGCCGCGGGCAAAGCCGCGCCCAAAAAUAAGCGCCCGAAGGUCGUGGUGCCAAAACCCCCGAGCGGAAAAAUGGCCAAAAAACGGGUGGGCUAUAGCCUUGGUGGGGGGCGCGGGCGAAGUUCGUCCGCCGGACUCGGAAUGGGGCGAGACUUUGCGAGGGGCCUCGGGGUGCCAAAAAUAAGCCGCGGGCAAAGCCGCGCCCAAAAAUAAGCGCCCGAAGGUCGUGGUGCCAAAACCCCCCAGCGGAAAAAUGGCCAAAAAACGGGUGGGCUAUAGCCUUGGUGGGGGGCGCGGGCGAAGUUCGUCCGCCGGACUCGGAAUGGGGCGAGACUUUGCGAGGGGCCUCGGGGUGCCAAAAAUAAGCCGCGGGCAAAGCCGCGCCCAAAAAUAAGCGCCCGAAGGUCGUGGUGCCAAAACCCCCCAGCGGAAAAAUGGCCAAAAAACGGGUGGGCUAUAGCCUUGGUGGGGGGCGCGGGCGAAGUUCGUCCGCCGGACUCGGAAUGGGGCGAGACUUUGCGAGGGGCCUCGGGGUGCCAAAAAUAAGCCGCGGGCAAAGCCGCGCCCAAAAAUAAGCGCCCGAAGGUCGUGGUGCCAAAACCCCCCAGCGGAAAAAUGGCCAAAAAACGGGUGGGCUAUAGCCUUGGUGGGGGGCGCGGGCGAAGUUCGUCCGCCGGACUCGGAAUGCGGCGAGACUUUGCGAGGGGCCUCGGGGUACCAAAAAUAAGACGCGGGCAAAGCCGCGCCCAAAAAUAAGCGCCCGAAGGUCGUGGUGCCAAAACCCCCCAGCGGAAAAAUGGCCAAAAAACGGGUGGGCUAUAGCCUUGGCGGGGGGCGUGGGCGAAGUUCGUCCGCCGGACUCGGAAUGGCCCCAGACUUUGCGGGCGGCCUCCGUGUGCCAAAAAUAGGCCACGGG